AGGGAGCGAGGGAGGAGGAGGAGAGAAAGCAGACCGAGAGAGCGCAAGCGAGUAGAGCAGUGUGGCUGCCUUGCAAUGGAAUAAAAACUGCGCAAUUUCAAAUCUGCACUUCUUUGAUCCCGGUUUCCUCUCCGAAUGUAGCGGCGCGGGCUCGCCCGAUGCAGGAUGGAUAUGCAGGCAGCUGCUGUCAUCUGGUGUCGCGUAGGCGCGGACUAGCGAUUUUUAACGGACCGUAUCGAUGUGUUUUUUGGAAGAUUUGCGUGAUCAUGCGAGCAACGCUGUAAUAGAAGAAUUGAUACUCGAAGACCAGGGAAACCAAAUAGUACGUUACGCUUUGUGGUAUCUGGGUUAAAAUUCAUCGCUGAGCGCUACGCAUGAUGUGUGUGUGCAUAAACGUGCUCAUCUUUGCUACGGUUUCAUAAUACAUGUCUGCGUGUACAGCGCUGCUCCAUGAAGACAAUAUUAAAUUACAUAAACAUUUAUGUGCACGAUUCAUAUUUUAACGUGGAUGCAUUUUAAAGAUGCGUUACUGCACUAAAUGUCAGUCAUGAGGAAAACACAACACACGGAAUUAUUUUAAUCCCCUGCCCAUAUGCAACAUUUACGCUGACCAUGGCACCUCCCAGCAGAUAUCGGCGGUCAGCACCAGCGGGGCACCUAAAAAACCCUUUGAAAUCUCAAGGCUGUGCGUUCUAUGGGAGGCCUCAGCCCUGUGGGUGGUACCCAAAACCGUCACCACACGCGUCACCGCCAGCUAUCAGCUGAUAUGUCCGUUCACCAAAGAGGAAGCUUACCCUGGAACCAAGGUAUGAAGAAACCAGUGUGUGCCCAGCAGGAGCCUGCGGAGGUAUCCUGGGGGCAUGUUUUAAGGAGCCUAAAACUGGCAAAGGAUGGAUCCAUUCAGUACGAGCAAAGGGCCUUCGACCGAGACGUGAACGAGCUCCUCAGAUCGGCUCCUGGGACAGCGCUGGGCACACUCCUUAAAGGGGGUGGCAGGUACAAGCACGAGCAGCCUAGUGAUGGCAGCAGGAGCGGGACAUCCCCUCUGGUGGGUGGAAGGUCCCAAACAUGGCCACUUGCGAUAGCGCAGAAAGCAACACCCACCCACUGGAAAGAGGGGAACGUUAGACCCCGCCCACACUGAAGACAGGAAAGAAAGAGGAGACAGGGCCAGGUCCUGCAUUGCUUGUGCUGCGUGUGUGUUUAUGUGGGCUGCGCUGCCGCCGGAGUCCCCUUGCAUUUAAAGGGAAAAGGACACAAAGAUCGUGCUGUGGCCCCAGCGGCCGUGGAUUUACAAACACCCCCCUCCCUCCCGUGGCU
Molecule: long non-coding RNA, 1320 nt
Organism: Brienomyrus brachyistius
Lineage: Eukaryota; Metazoa; Chordata; Actinopteri; Osteoglossiformes; Mormyridae
Exons: 4
Source: RefSeq, a predicted model, not a curated record